RNAcentral lists this ribosomal RNA (617 nucleotides) under uncultured rumen bacterium. Its description in RNAcentral is "bacterial SSU rRNA". It matches the Rfam family "Bacterial small subunit ribosomal RNA", at positions 40 to 671 of the family's 1533-position model. The record is from RNAcentral.
CGGCGUGCUUACACAUGCAAGUCGAACGGAACCUUCGGGUUUAGUGGCGAACGGGUGAGUAAAGCGCAGGUAAUCUGCCGCAAAGACGGGGACAACGUUCCGAAAGGGACGCUAAUACCGGAUGUUGUGCAGACGUCGCAUGACGGUUGCAUUAAAGAUUUAUCGCUUUGCGAGGAGCCUGCGUCCGAUUAGCUAGUUGGUGGGGUAAAAGCCUACCAAGGCGACGAUCGGUAGCCGGUCUGAGAGGAUGAACGGUCACAAUGGAACUGAGACACGGUCCAUACUCCUACGGGAGGCAGCAGUGGGGAAUAUUCCACAAUGGGCGAAAGCCUGAUGGAGCGACGCCGCGUGAGUGAAGAAGGGCUUCGGCUCGUAAAGCUCUUUUCUUGAGGACGAAUGGUCUAUUAGAUAGGCAGAGACGGUACUUAGGGAAUAAGCCACGGCUAACUACGUGCCAGCAGCCGCGGUAAUACGUAGGUGGCAAGCGUUGUCCGGAAUUAUUGGGCGUAAAGGGAGCGCAGGCGGGCUUACAAGUCCAAAUUAAAAGUGCAGGAGUAAUGUCUGUGAUGGUUUGGAAACUGUAAGUCUUGAGAGCAGGAGAGGCAAGCGGAAUUCCC